AGAAGAAGGAUGAAGAGCGGCAGAUUGAGCUCGAAGCACGAAAAUGGCGGGCAAGCGUGUAGCUUCCUCUUCUCUCUCAGCCGCCAUGGCUGCCUUCCGCAUUAGCUCGUCCAGUUUGAAGAACUGCCCCGCCGGCCGUCUUCUUCAAGCUCCACUUCUCGCUCCCAGUCAAUUGGAUGGUUUUGUUCACAAGGUUUUCAGACAGCCAGACCGUUGCGUCCAUCCUCUUUAUGGUGGGAGGAGAUCGCCUUCUGUUGGGCAAGCAUGGGUUCGUUCAUGUCCGUAUUCGAAUGAGGCCCUGGAGCAGCCGAAGCACUUGGAGAGGAGCACUGCUGUCGGAGACGGUGAGACUAAAGUUAAGAGGAAGAAACUGAAGGGGAAGAGGGCCGUCGUGAGGUGGCUGAAGUUUUUCAGAUGGAAGAAGAAGAAAGAGUACGAGAGAAUGACGGCCGAAGAGAAGAACCUCUACAAGCUGAGAAAGGCUAGAAAGAAAGAGGAGAGGCUGGUUGAAUCUCUGAAAAAGAUUGAACCCAAGGAAUCAUCCGAGAUAAUCCACGAUCCUGAGAUAUUGACUCCGGAAGAGCACUUCUUCUUCUUAAAGAUGGCCCAUAAGUGCAAAAAUUAUGUUCCAAUCGGUCGACGGGGUAUAUAUCAGGGUGUGAUACUAAACAUGCACUUGCAUUGGAAGAAACACCAGACUGUGAAGGUGGAGGUCAAAACAUUUUCCCCUGAUGAGGUCAAGGGGAUUGCUGCUGAGCUUGCAAGAUUGACAGGAGGGAUCGUUCUCGACAUUCAUGAAGAGAAUACGAUAAUUAUGUACAGAGGAAAGAAUUACUGUCAGCCCCCAACUGAAAUAAUGUCACCGAGGGUCACCCUAUCAAGAAAGAAGGCUUUAGAUAAGUCCAAAUACAGGGACGGGCUUCGAGCUGUUAGGAAGCAGAUCCCGAGACUCGAGCAGGAACUUGAGUUGCUUCGUGCUCAGGCUGAAAGACCUGCCGAAAACAAGACUGAGUUGGUGGAAGAUACCAAAGUGGCUGACGAUGAUAAAAAUGCGCACUUGGGAGUGUCAAGCCUGCAGAUGGAGAAUUCUAGCAGGCUGAAGGAAAUUAUAGAGCGAGCAGAAGAUUGCGUGGAUGAUGAGUCAAAUACGGAGCUGGGCAUUGAAUCUGACUCUGAAGAUUUAUCUGACAUCUUUGAGACGGAUUCGGAGACCGAACCUGAGGACAAGGCAGGAGAUAAUCUUUAUUUGGAUGCGGUUGAUAAGUUUCCUGCACAUAGUGGGGAAGAGCCAGAAGAUUUUGAGGACCACUUGCGUCAGAUAUCGAUGGACUCAAGGAAUGCUCGAACAGAAAAACACCUUAGCACUCCCAACUUGGAUGAGGUUGAUCGGAUGUUUCUUCGAGCGGCCUCACUGCUGAAGAAGAAGAGGCGAUAAAAGUCUCGUCAAGUGUACGAGUCCAGGAGUUCCAUAGUCUGGAGCCAGUCGGAGCCUAUCCAUUUUCUCUGAAAUGUAUAUGUAGUCGGUUUUGCAGGCGAGUAAUCUUGCAUAUCUCGUUCUUACUCUAGAGUUGGCUUUGAAAUUCGGAUGUGCAAUAUUAUAACUCAUCAAAUGUCGAGACCUAUACUGGUAUCGGGUGAAUUAGCCCUUCGAUGAUUGUAUCUUGCUUGAUAUUCCAAUGAAUUAAGGUGAUUAGUUGCUAUGGUU
Punica granatum (pomegranate) is the source of this 1705-nucleotide non-coding RNA. NCBI's taxonomy places the organism in Eukaryota, Viridiplantae, Streptophyta, Magnoliopsida, Myrtales, Lythraceae. The record is from RefSeq and is a predicted model, not a curated record.